This 503-nucleotide ribosomal RNA is filed under the name uncultured bacterium. Its description in RNAcentral is "bacterial SSU rRNA". It matches the Rfam family "Bacterial small subunit ribosomal RNA", at positions 28 to 521 of the family's 1533-position model. The record is from RNAcentral.
AUUGAACGCUGGCGGUAUGCUUAACACAUGCAAGUCGGACGAUGAGGGGGCGCUUGCGCCCCCGAUUAGUGGCGGACGGGUGAGUAACGCGUAGGAACCUGCCCCGUAGUGGGGGACAACGUGGGGAAACCCACGCUAAUACCGCAUACGCUCCCCCUUGGGGGAGGAAAGCGGGGGACCGCAAGGCCUCGCGCUAUGGGAUGGGCCUGCGUGGGAUUAGCUAGUUGGCGGGGUAAAGGCCCACCAAGGCGACGAUCCCUAGCUGGUCUGAGAGGACGACCAGCCACACUGGGACUGAGACACGGCCCAGACUCCUACGGGAGGCAGCAGUGGGGAAUAUUGGGCAAUGGGCGCAGGCCUGACCCAGCAAUGCCGCGUGUGUGAAGAAGGCCUGAGGGUUGUAAAGCACUUUCAGUGGGGAGGAAAAAGCGUGGGCGAACACCCUGCGCCUUGACAUUACCCACAGAAGAAGCACCGGCUAACUCCGUGCCAGCAGCCGCCGU